This 74-nucleotide small RNA is filed under the name Xanthomonas hortorum. RNAcentral describes it as "sX9 sRNA". It matches the Rfam family "Xanthomonas sRNA sX9". Lineage: Bacteria; Pseudomonadati; Pseudomonadota; Gammaproteobacteria; Lysobacterales; Lysobacteraceae. The record is from RNAcentral.
AUGUACCACUCGGGCACUGCGGCUCCUGCCCGCCGUCCGCACCCACCUGACGACUGCUCACUACGUUGUCAUCC